Molecule: ribosomal RNA, 443 nt
Filed under: uncultured bacterium
Lineage: Bacteria
Description: partial 16S ribosomal RNA
Rfam family: Bacterial small subunit ribosomal RNA
Source: RNAcentral
CCUACGGGAGGCAGCAGUGGGGAAUAUUGGGCAAUGGGCGCAAGCCUGACCCAGCAACGCCGCGUGAAGGAAGAAGGCUUUCGGGUUGUAAACUUCUUUUCUCAGGGACGAAGAAAGUGACGGUACCUGAGGAAUAAGCCACGGCUAACUACGUGCCAGCAGCCGCGGUAAUCCGUAGGUGGCAAGCGUUAUCCGGAUUUAUUGGGUGUAAAGGGCGUGUAGGCGGGAGGGCAAGUCAGAUGUGAAAACUCAGGGCUCAACCCUGAGCGUGCAUGUGAAACUGGGUUUCUUGAGUGCUGGUGAGGGAAGCGGAAUGCGGGGGGUAGGGGGGAAAGGAGGAGAUAGACGGAGGAACACCAGUGGCGAAGGCGGAAGAACGGAGAGUAACUGACGCGGAGGCGCGAAGGCGUGGGGAGCAAACAGGAUUAGAGACCCGAGUAGUC